This is a long non-coding RNA of Phyllostomus discolor (pale spear-nosed bat), 397 nucleotides long. RefSeq lists it as uncharacterized. The transcript is spliced from 3 exons. NCBI's taxonomy places the organism in Eukaryota, Metazoa, Chordata, Mammalia, Chiroptera, Phyllostomidae. The record is from RefSeq and is a predicted model, not a curated record.
AGUCCCAAAGAAGGAGGGUGCAUUUUUAUUUUAGAAGAAAGUGAAAACUAACAAUUUCAAGACUCAUCAAGAUACCUGGAGAUAUUGCUUAAAUCUGAGCUAUCAACUCACAUUGACCUUCCUCAGAGAAACAACACAGAUAAACACCCACCAGAACUGGCCAUAACCUAAAAUUCCACAGUUUACAUUCAAACAAUCAAGGGAGGUGAUUCAGAAAUGAUAUUACAUUUUGCAUUUUAUUCAAUUCUAUGUGACAAAAUAUGAACCAAGACUAAGACAUCCAUUUCAGUUAGUUGGUAUGUUGAGCCACAAAUUUCUUCAAAAAAACAUGGAUCUAGGCAGCAUGGACCUCCCCAGCUGGUUUGGGGAGGCCCUGUCCCCACAUGGCAUUGCAGUA